This 507-nucleotide ribosomal RNA is filed under the name Halodiplosis sp. 1 JOS-2019. Its description in RNAcentral is "partial large subunit ribosomal RNA". Lineage: Eukaryota; Metazoa; Arthropoda; Insecta; Diptera; Cecidomyiidae. The record is from RNAcentral.
CGCCUGUUUAUUAAAAACAUUGUUUUUUAAUUUGUUAAAAAAUAUAAUCUGCCCAUUGAAAAUUAUAUUUUAAAAGGCUGCAGUAUAUUGACUGUACAAAGGUAGCAUAAUCAUUAGGUUUUUAAUUGAGAUCUUGUAUGAAUGAUUAAAUGAAAUAAAAUCUUUUUUAGUUUUAAAAUUUGAAUUUUAUAUAUUAGUAAAAAAUCUAAUAUAAUUAAAAAAGACGAGAAGACCCUAUAGAAUUUAAUAAUUUUAUAAUAAAUAUAAAUAAUAUUAUUUAUAUUUUAUUUAUUAUUAUUAUUUUGUUGGGGAGAUAGUAAAAUUUAUUUAACUUUUAUUUAUUAAUUUCAAAUAUAAUUGUUUUAUUGAUCUUUUAUUAUAGAUUAUUAAAUUAAAUUACCUUAGGGAUAACAGCAUAAUAUUAUUAAUUAGUUCUUAUUUUUAAUAUAUUUUAUGACCUCGAUGUUGAAUUAAAAUUAUUAUUAUAUGAAGGGAUAUAAAAAAUAA